Molecule: microRNA, 23 nt
Filed under: Oreochromis niloticus (Nile tilapia)
Lineage: Eukaryota; Metazoa; Chordata; Actinopteri; Cichliformes; Cichlidae
Description: oni-miR-10701
Source: miRBase by way of RNAcentral
ACAUUUGCAUAAGGAUUGAAACU